RNAcentral lists this ribosomal RNA (345 nucleotides) under Listeria monocytogenes. Its description in RNAcentral is "bacterial SSU rRNA". It matches the Rfam family "Bacterial small subunit ribosomal RNA", at positions 1198 to 1533 of the family's 1533-position model. Lineage: Bacteria; Bacillati; Bacillota; Bacilli; Caryophanales; Listeriaceae. The record is from RNAcentral.
CCCCUUAUGACCUGGGCUACACACGUGCUACAAUGGAUAGUACAAAGGGUCGCGAAGCCGCGAGGUGGAGCUAAUCCCAUAAAACUAUUCUCAGUUCGGAUUGUAGGCUGCAACUCGCCUACAUGAAGCCGGAAUCGCUAGUAAUCGUGGAUCAGCAUGCCACGGUGAAUACGUUCCCGGGCCUUGUACACACCGCCCGUCACACCACGAGAGUUUGUAACACCCGAAGUCGGUAGGGUAACCUUUAUGGAGCCAGCCGCCGAAGGUGGGACAGAUAAUUGGGGUGAAGUCGUAACAAGGUAGCCGUAUCGGAAGGUGCGGCUGGAUCACCUCCUUUCUAAGGAA